RNAcentral lists this ribosomal RNA (479 nucleotides) under uncultured bacterium. Its description in RNAcentral is "bacterial SSU rRNA". It matches the Rfam family "Bacterial small subunit ribosomal RNA", at positions 15 to 518 of the family's 1533-position model. The record is from RNAcentral.
GAUUAUGGCUCAGGAUUAACGCUGGCGGCGUGCCUAAUACAUGCAAGUCGAAUGGUAGCAAUACCAUGGCGAACGGGUGAGUAACACGUAGGUAACCUGUCUUUAAGACGAGGAUAACCGUUGGAAACGACGGAUAAUACUCGAUAGGUGAUUUGAGGGCAUCCUUGGAUCAUUAAAGAUUUAUCACUUAGAGAGGGGCCUGCGGCGCAUUAGCUAGAUGGCGGUGUAAUGGACCACCAUGGCGAUGAUGCGUAGCCGGACUGAGAGGUUGAACGGCCACAAUGGAACUGAGAACGGUCCAUACUCCUACGGGAGGCAGCAGUAGGGAAUUUUCGGCAAUGGGCGAAAGCCUGACCGAGCCAACGCCGCGUGAACGAAGAAGUAUUUCGGUAUGUAAAGUUCUUUUAUCGGGGAAGAAAAAUAUUCAAAUUGACGGUACCUGAUGAAUAAGCUCCGGCUAACUACGUGCCAGCAGCUGC